CCUACGGGGGGCAGCAGUGGGGAAUAUUGGACAAUGGGCGAAAGCCUGAUCCAGCCAUGUCGCGUGUGUGAAGAAGGCCUUCGGGUUGUAAAGCACUUUCAGUGGGGAAGAAAGCCUUGGGGCUAAUACCCUCGAGGAAGGACAUCACCCACAGAAGAAGCACCGGCUAACUCCGUGCCAGCAGCCGCGGUAAUACGGAGGGUGCGAGCGUUAAUCGGAAUUACUGGGCGUAAAGCGCGCGUAGGCGGUCUGAUAAGCCGGUUGUGAAAGCCCCGGGCUCAACCUGGGAACGGCAUCCGGAACUGUCAGGCUAGAGUGCAGGAGAGGAAGGUAGAAUUCCCGGUGUAGCGGUGAAAUGCGUAGAGAUCGGGAGGAAUACCAGUGGCGAAGGCGGCCUUCUGGACUGACACUGACGCUGAGGUGCGAAAGCGUGGGUAGCAAACAGGAUUAGAUACCCGAGUAGUC
RNAcentral lists this ribosomal RNA (465 nucleotides) under Vreelandella stevensii. RNAcentral describes it as "partial 16S ribosomal RNA". It matches the Rfam family "Bacterial small subunit ribosomal RNA", at positions 338 to 795 of the family's 1533-position model. Lineage: Bacteria; Pseudomonadati; Pseudomonadota; Gammaproteobacteria; Oceanospirillales; Halomonadaceae. The record is from RNAcentral.